GGUACAGCAGCCUUAGAAAGUCAAUAUAGAUACUACAUCCUAUUGUCACCACCAUUGAAAUACAUUUGGAAUCUUAAGAUCAAGGAGGAGAUUGUGGUUAUAAAUGUCUGAUGGCAUCUCUACAUCUCAGGUGAAGCAUGGAGGAUUUCACAGAUGAAGUGAGUGAUACCUGAAUAGCUAUUGGAGAAUAUGUAAAAGUGAGAAACAGAGCAUGAAUCUGAAGAAGUCAUACAAACGUGAGAAAGAAGUUGAGAAAGAGAUUUUCCUGCGUAAGAAAAUGCUGUGUUUGAAAAGUCUGUUGAAAGCUUGUGAUGUGUCUAAUCCCAUUUCAACUUCUGCUAUGAGUAAAAGCUACCUGAGGCCUUCCGA
Molecule: long non-coding RNA, 369 nt
Filed under: Homo sapiens (human)
Lineage: Eukaryota; Metazoa; Chordata; Mammalia; Primates; Hominidae
Description: HSALNT0319939
Source: RNAcentral